This is a long non-coding RNA of Rhineura floridana, 828 nucleotides long. RefSeq lists it as uncharacterized. The record is from RefSeq and is a predicted model, not a curated record. The transcript is spliced from 3 exons. Lineage: Eukaryota; Metazoa; Chordata; Lepidosauria; Squamata; Rhineuridae.
CCUUGACCUGUACCCUUGAAAGAAAAUCAUGUAUUUGACAUCAUUGAAUCCAGGUUUUUUAGAAUUGAAUGUGAAACACUCCCACUCCUUCUGCCAGAUCCUAAGCUGCUUCUCUGAGAUCCAUACCAGGAGCAUGUGGAAAAGGUGCAGCCACCCUAGUGGAGACUGGCCAGAGCAGUUGCUAGCAACAGGAGUACAAAGCAACCAUGCUAGUUGAAGAGGUAGAAUUAUUGCAGUGGGAAAGAGAUUGCUUCCUGACCCUGGCUCCAGUCCAUAUGGCUCCCAUUCAGUCAGUAUCCUCACAUUAGCUGGCUCCCUCUUCUCCCCUAUUCAAGGGCCCAGCUACUCCAUUGGAAGGCACAAGCUCCUUAGCAGAUCAGCACGGGGUUAGCCAUCAGCGCACUUGAUGGUAUUCAUUGGACACAAAUCAAGAUGGUGCAGGGAUGACUGUGUGGGGAUUUGUUUAUCAAUAUAUUGUUGAUAAAGAAGUGACAUUGGUGGAAGAGAUGGGGUGGGAAUGGAUACUCAAUGGCUGGGGAUCUUUCCAGUAAAUAGAAUAUUUGUGGCAUAAUCCCGCCAUGAGUUCUCUGUAACUAAACCCCGUCAAUCUCAAUAGGAUCACUAUGCCUGGGCUACCAAGGUGCUCAGUUUCACUGGUCUUCUGAGUAUCCUUCAGAUCAUUUUGACUCUUGUUCUGUUUAUUUUGCUGGAAGAGGCUGACUAACUAUAAAGCAUGGGAUAGCCAGAGUAAGGAAAUUGUCUCACCUUAAUUUAUAUUCAUUUAUGAAACACUAUUGUUAAGUAUGCACACCAGUGUAAGAACUCUGU